UUUAUUGGGGGGGGGGAAUCCAAAAAAUUUGGGGUCGGAAUCGCAAAAUUUGGGGUCGGGGUACAAAAAAUGGGGCUGGGGUCCCGAAAUUUGGGGUCGGAAUCACAAAAUUUAGGGCUAGGACCCCGAAAUUUGGGGUCAAGGUCCCAAAAUUUGGGUCCAGAACCUCAAAAUUUGGGGUCGGAAUCACAAAAUUUGGGGCUGGGGUCCCAAAAUUUGGGGUCAGAAUGAGAAAAUUUGGGGUCGGGGUCCCAAAAUUUGGGUUCAGAAGCCUAAAAAUGGGGCUGGGGUCCCAAAAAUGGGGUUGGGGUCCAAAAAUUUGGGGUCAGAAUCACAAAAUUUGGGGUUGGGGUCCCAAAAUUUGGGGUUGGAGGGGUGAAAAUGGAGCUGGGGUCCCAAAAUUUGGGGUCAAGGUCCCGAAAUUUGGGGUCAGAAUCCCAAAAUUUGGGAUUGGGGUCCUAAAAUUUGGGGCUGGGGUCCCAAAAAUGGGGUCGGGGUCUCAAAAUUUGGGGUCAGAAUUACAAAAUUUGGGGUUGCGGUCUCAAAAUUGGGGGCGAGGACCCCGAAAUUUGGGGUUGAGACCCCAAAAAUGGGUCUGGGGUCCCAAAAUGUGGAUUGGGGACCCUAAAUGUGGGGCUGGGGUCUCAAAAAUGGGGUUGGGACCCCAAAAUCUGAGUCCAGAACCCCAAAAUUUGGGUUCAGAACCCCAAAAUUUGGGUUAAGGACCCCAAAUUUGGGGCCGGGGUAACAAAAUCGGGUCCAGAACCCCAAAAUUUGGGGCUGGGGUCCCAAAAAUUGGAACAGGUGACCCCUGGUGUGGUCAGUGUCCAUUUUAAUGUCCACUCUGUGUCCACUCUGUGUCCACUCUGUGUCCACUCCAUUCAUUUCUGGAUGGUCAGUUGGUCACUCCCAUGUGGUCAGUUGGUCAGUGGCCAUUCCUGGCUGGUCACUCAGUGGUCAGCGGUCACUCCAUGGUCAUUCUCAGGCCAGCACGUGGUCACUCAGUGGUCACUCAGUGGUCACUCUCAGGCCAGCCUAUGGUUACUCU
Molecule: long non-coding RNA, 1048 nt
Filed under: Junco hyemalis (dark-eyed junco)
Lineage: Eukaryota; Metazoa; Chordata; Aves; Passeriformes; Passerellidae
Description: lncRNA (ENSJHYG00000016044.1)
Source: RNAcentral